GACGAACGCUGGCGGCGUGCCUAAUACAUGCAAGUAGAACGCACAGUUUAUACCGUAGCUUGCUACACCAUAGACUGUGAGUUGCGAACGGGUGAGUAACGCGUAGGUAACCUGCCUGGUAGCGGGGGAUAACUAUUGGAAACGAUAGCUAAUACCGCAUAAUAUUAAUUAUUGCAUGAUAAUUAAUUGAAAGGUGCAAUUGCACCACUACCAGAUGGACCUGCGUUGUAUUAGCUAGUAGGUGAGGUAACGGCUCACCUAGGCGACGAUACAUAGCCGACCUGAGAGGGUGAUCGGCCACACUGGGACUGAGACACGGCCCAGACUCCUACGGGAGGCAGCAGUAGGGAAUCUUCGGCAAUGGACGAAAGUCUGACCGAGCAACGCCGCGUGAGUGAAGAAGGUUUUCGGAUCGUAAAGCUCUGUUGUAAGAGAAGAACGGGUGUGGGAGUGGAAAGUUCACACUGUGACGGUAUCUUACCAGAAAGAGACGGCUAACUACGUG
RNAcentral lists this ribosomal RNA (505 nucleotides) under uncultured bacterium. RNAcentral's name for it is "partial 16S ribosomal RNA". It matches the Rfam family "Bacterial small subunit ribosomal RNA", at positions 28 to 507 of the family's 1533-position model. The record is from RNAcentral.